Oceanospirillum sp. is the source of this 121-nucleotide regulatory RNA element. It matches the Rfam family "RtT RNA". From Rfam's summary of the family: This family represents a bacterial cis-regulatory element known as RtT RNA. The exact function of RtT is unknown although it is thought that it may be involved in changing the cellular response in relation to amino acid starvation. The record is from Rfam. NCBI's taxonomy places the organism in Bacteria, Pseudomonadati, Pseudomonadota, Gammaproteobacteria, Oceanospirillales, Oceanospirillaceae.
UUUGUGUCUGUAACUUGAGGGAUGAGAACCCGAGAAGAGGGUUUGAGCCGAGCGAAGCGAGACAACGUGGGAGCUGCGACCACGGCCCCGAAGGGGUGAAAUAAUCCCUCCCUGACCGCCA